Molecule: non-coding RNA, 29 nt
Filed under: Rattus norvegicus (Norway rat)
Lineage: Eukaryota; Metazoa; Chordata; Mammalia; Rodentia; Muridae
Source: RNAcentral
UCCAACUCACUACCGGGAGACCUGGCUAU